GGGAUUUCGGGUUUUAUCCUUACGGGAUCAUGGAGUUCUUUUUUCUUUAAAUUAGGGACCUCGGGUUUUUAUAUUUUUCAGCCCGGGAUUCCGGGAUCAGGUCCCCUCUAACCACCCCUUAAAUUAGCUUUAGUCAGUUAUACAAGAUUCAAAUCCUACAAUUGGCAUGUACAUAGAGCUUUAAAAAGAAAAAGCACUGAUAGAUUGUCCUAGAAGCAUAGUUUAUUAGAAUACUAAUGGUCUAUAUUAAAGCAGUUACAUUUGUUUCAUGUUUGAAGUGG
This 281-nucleotide long non-coding RNA is filed under the name Mytilus galloprovincialis (Mediterranean mussel). Lineage: Eukaryota; Metazoa; Mollusca; Bivalvia; Mytilida; Mytilidae. The record is from RNAcentral.